Molecule: unclassified non-coding RNA, 4421 nt
Filed under: Acromyrmex echinatior (Panamanian leafcutter ant)
Lineage: Eukaryota; Metazoa; Arthropoda; Insecta; Hymenoptera; Formicidae
Description: aryl hydrocarbon receptor nuclear translocator 2- like, transcript variant X1
Source: RNAcentral
AGAGAAAGGAAGAACGAAUGUAUGGCUUCAUUUUACACAUGCAAUCUAAAACUCCUUUCUUAUCGUUGGCCUGUCAGUGUGAGCGUUGCCUAAUAACGUAUUGUGUUAUCACGCCUAGGCGCACGAAUGGACGAGCGGCGGGAGAAGACGAGGGGAACGAUUGGUUGUCUCCGCGUGGGGGGAAAGCGCUGAUUGGUUACCGGGAGUGGGGGGUAGCGUUCGCCGAGCAGUUCAGAUCCGACCGUCGUGAGUUGUAGUCUUACUGGUACACGGUCUCUCUUUCUCUCUUUCGCGCUCUUCUCUCUAUUCCCAGUCUCGGGUAGAGCCGUGUGAUGUUCGACGAUUGACAGUUUCGCGAAUACUCGCGCGUGGAUGCGCAACGCCGUUGUUUCGACGCGUUGCCGGGGCGUUGUAAUCGUUUGCUUGUGAAAAAAAAACGCAGUUUCCCGCGCGCGCACGCGAGCGCGUGCGUGGCCGUGUCUCUUGCCUGCGACGCGACGACGUUGCGACCGGCAAGUAGUAAACAGGUGACACCGACGAACGAAGCGGAACAACAGCCGCAGCGUCGCGCUGUAUCGGUAGCGGUUGACCUUUUACAACACACAGUGCACACAGUGCGUCGCGCGUAAAUUACGCGAAAUAGCAGUGGCCACUGAUCGGACGGUGUUAGGAAUAAAUCGCCCGCUCCGUAUACCCGCGGUGGACACUGUUCAGUAUACUGUGUCAAGGCCAUCGCCGACGAGUUCGCGCCUCGUGUUGCUACGUAGCGUAUUUCUCUGCGUAAUACCAAAGGACGGAUAGAGAGAAACAGAUGCAGAAAAAGACAGAUCGCACGAUCCCUGCAUCGCGAUCAUCGAGAAACCCAUAGUUUCGCAAUCAUAUUCCUCACGAUUUGUCUCUAAUCUGAAAGACGGUGUCAAGGCCGGUGUCAACUUCCGGCGAGCUUUUUACGAGCGACGACUUUUUAUAGCUCCUCUGAUCCAACAACAAUCGCGCGCGCGCGCAUGUGUCAAACUAUCAUCAACUUUGAUGGGAUUGAUAAAAAUUGCGUAAACAUCGUCGUAACGAUUUAAUCCCGGCUCUGUGGAGUUUCAGUGGAAUAGUACUCUUGCAUGAAAUCUACAAUAAAGUUCAUGUACGUUAAAGAAGCUCAGUGGAUGUUUAUCCAUAGAAACCCGGGACGAUAUAGCGUGACAUCAGAUUCGGAAACGACGGAACAUUUGGUGCCGGUACAUGCUUCAUCGAUCGAUUGAUCAAGCUGAACUUCUUGUAACAUUUGCCAGAUACAGGCAAGGCCGGAGGCCUUUAUUAUCGCCGCGCGAAUAAGCUAUCGAGCGACCGCGAUUAAUCACCGGCUAACCAGCUAAUUUUAAUUCGGCCGGCAAACAAGCCGUCGCCGUUGCGAUAAGACGGCCGAGAGACAUCGCUACUGACAACGCGUCACCGAACGAUACUCGCCGUUCUCCAAUAUGGCGAGCGACGCUUGCAGGGACACCUGCUGCGAAUUGCGACCUAUGUUUAUCGGUGCUAACAAGUGUGAUUGUUGAAUAAAUCGCGAAUAAAGACAAGUUACGGUAACAAUCGUCGUUAUCUUCGUGACAUAAGAAUUGUGAGACAAUAUCGACGAUAGAAAAAGCGAAUUGAAAAGUUUGCGACUUACAAUGGCCAACGACGACGGGCAAACGUACUUUGUACGGGCAAACGGAUGAGAAAACUUGUUUUUUUUUUUUCCUUUAGAAGACGUAUAUUUAUUUAUCGUUAAAUGCAUCUCGAAGUGUACGGCAUGUGGCAGCAGCAACAGCAGCAGCACCAGCAAGCGUUUUUGAGGGGUUUGCCCCCGCAACAUCCGCAACAGACUCUCCAUCCAGGGAUCAUCGGCACGGAUAAUCACGUGCCACAUCAGCAGCAACAUCAUCAGCAUCAUCGCGCUACCAUUAUGGAUUUGCCGGUACCAAGCAAUCCACGUGCAUCGCGAAACAUGGCGGAAAAGCAACGCCGCGACAAUCUCAACGCAAAUAUAUCGACGAUGGCGACCCUUGUGCCGAGCGUUGCUGGAAGCUCGAGGAGAAUGGACAAAAUAUCAAUCCUGAGAUUAGCUACCGCUUUCCUGAGGACACGUUACACACUCGGAAGAGGCUGUACGAACUUCCUUCCCCCAUUGUUCAAAGAUCAAUUUGAUCUGGAGCAAUUUUUUGUUGACCACCUAGUUGACAGCGGAGGUUUCUUCAUCGUACUCACCACAAAAGGGAACAUCGUCUAUGUUAGUCGACAAGUGGAGCAACACCUCGGUCAUGUUCAGAACGAAUUGCUGGGUCAGUGCCUGUUCAAUUUCAUCUAUCCCGAUGACCUUGAUGAGCUCAAGCGUAAUCUUUUGCCCGAUGGGCAGUCGAUGUCAUCGUCGACACCGUCGCCGAUGAGCAUCUCGCAGGUGUCCGAGUUGACACAUGAUAACAGUUCCAACUCUUCUGAGGAAUCCUCGACGUCAAGUCAACGGUCGAACGAGAAGCCGAAACGCUUCUUCGAGCAGAGACGGAAUUUCAAAAUCCGCAUAGCGCAACGCACUAAUUCCAGGCGUGAUCAUACACAGUAUGAGUGUUUCGACGUUUCGGGUCUUCUCCGGCUCGCAGAAGCCUGCAAAAACGUGGACAUUCACGGGCACAGAGGAAGACAACGAGAGGCGACGAGCACAACCAACGACAUCGUUUUUGCCGGCAUAGCGACCCUGCCACAGAAACGGCCCAUCACCGAAUUGUCGAUAAUGGACGCCAAUAAAGACGAAUAUGUGACGCGGCAUCUGGUCGACGGGCGUAUCAUUUAUUGCGACCAUAGGGUAUCGGUCAUUGCCGGGUACCUGUCGGAGGAGAUAUCGGGCCUGAACGCGUUCGGUUUUAUGCACAAGGACGAUUGUAGGUGGACGAUGAUCGGCCUACGGCAAAUGUACGACCGUGCCGAAAUGUGCGGCUCAUCGUGCUACAGGCUACUCACAAAGAACGGUGAGUUCAUCUACUUACGGACCCACGGUUAUUUGGAAAUUGACAGAGAUAUGAAUACGGUGGAAUCCUUCGUUUGUGUUAACACCAUGGUGACGGAAGAGGAGGGCAUUCAACUAAUAAAAGAAAUGAAAAUGAGAUUCUCCGCGACCGUGUCUGCAAGUAGUAAAAGUCUAAUUCCAGAUAUCGGCAAUAAUGCACUACCAAUCGACAUGAACACUCAGUCGUCGAAUUCAAAAGCCAACGUCGAAGAUCCAUCGCAGCUCGAAGUUGCUAUUAAUCACCUAAUCAGCGACUUACCCUCGUCGGUUAUAACGGAGGAUUGUUUGUCUCCCUCACCGAUACCGCAUACACAAUACGUAAAGGCUGCUAUAUUCUCUUCUCGUAUGCCUCCAGUUUCCGCACAAGCCAAUAAGAUCGGCAUCAAUAAAAUCAACCGUUGCAUUGUCAUCCAAGGCAAAGGCAAAGGCAAAGUAUCUCCGAAGCAAGAGUCCAAACAAACCAUUGGAAAAUUGAUUAAUUCCAGUAGCGCGGAGCAAAGCCCAAUAUCAGAUUCAGAAAGCGUGAUGCCGUCCGGCAAGCCUUUGUCAAUGUUUGAAAUGAUGAACGCUAGCCAUAGCAGCCAUGACAAUAUCCAAAACGUUGACAUGUCUGCACAAUCGAAAGUUCUUGCUACUCGCAAGUCUGGUAAGAGUUCCCGCGCGCCUCGUAAUCAUACAUCAUGUUUGGAUAGUUCUCCAAGUGCAAGUGUUUUGAACGAAGGCACCGCAUGCAAUAUUAAGGUGGAACGUGGCACCGAGGAAACGUUCAAUUGUGUGAAAAAGCAGGAGGUACAAUACUUUGAUGACAGCGCGAGUGAUAAUUCUAUCGCCUCGUCGGGGAUUGAAAUGCAUAAUCGAUGUCCAUUGAAAAGGAUAUGUAGCGAUGAGGAUCUUCUGGUGAUGCAUAGCAAAAAGAGAUCUAACGAUGUGUACACAUCGACGAAUAUAAACAACGAACAACAGCACAUCUACUUGAAAUGCAGAUCUUUCGCAUCUGAGUAUCCGACAUUUUCAGAUGAAUUUAAUCAAUACAAUGAUGUCAAUUCGCAAUCACUGACAGUGGCGGAGUCGCCUAAUUCAAGUUUACAUGAAGUCGGAACUGAUUAUCAACAGUUGGUAGAUCCCGCCGUGCCGUUAGGCGUAACAAAUCACGACGAAGAACAGUUUGUUGAUUUGCAGGAUCUGAAAGAGGACACGUUGCUAAGUUCGGAACUUGACGCAAGUCCAGGUUGCACUUGUCUUUGCAUCGCGCCAGAAUUACUACAUCCCGGCUGAAUAUCCAACUCCUUUGCGGGAACGAACGGCAAUUCUCAACGCAGUAAAUUAAUAUACUAAAAACUUAUGAUGAAGAUAUUUGGCGGUCUACGUAAUGGAACUACAGGUUUCGAAG